AACGAACGCUGGCGGCAGGCCUAACACAUGCAAGUCGAGCGCCCUUUCGGGGGCGCGGCGGCCGGGUGAGUAACGCGUGGGAAUAUGCCCUUCUCUACGGAAUAGCCUCGGGAAACUGAGAGUAAUACCGUAUACGCCCUGUGGGGGAAAGAUUUAUCGGGGAAGGAUUAGCCCGCGUUGGAUUAGGUAGUUGGUGGGGUAAUGGCCUACCAAGCCGACGAUCCAUAGCUGGUUUGAGAGGAGGAUCAGCCACACUGGGACUGAGACACGGCCCAGACUCCUACGGGAGGCAGCAGUGGGGAAUCUGAGACAAUGGGGGCAACCCUGAGCUAGCCAUGCCGCGUGAGUGAUGAAGGCCUUAGGGUUGUAAAGCUCUUUCAGCUGGGAAGAUAAUGACGGUACCAGCAGAAGAAGCCCCGGCUAACUCCGUG
RNAcentral lists this ribosomal RNA (431 nucleotides) under uncultured bacterium. Its description in RNAcentral is "partial 16S ribosomal RNA". It matches the Rfam family "Bacterial small subunit ribosomal RNA", at positions 29 to 507 of the family's 1533-position model. The record is from RNAcentral.